GUGGGUGUGAGAGGGGGCUGGAAGGGGAGGGGAGUCUAGUGGUUAGAGCAGGAGGGGUGGGAGCCAGGACUCCUGGGUUCAUCUGGGGGGGUGUAUGGGAAGCUGUUUGCUGCAUAUACCACAGCAGGCAGGUGCGUCUCCUUGGAGACAAGCACCAUGGAUACCAGGCCCGACUGCGAUUUGCCCACCGCGGAUCCGGCUGAACUGUCUCCUACAGCGGCGGAAGGGCUGCGGCCCCGGAGGGAUCCGGACCUGUGGCCCCUGCAUCCGCCCCUACCAUGAGGACCCCGGUGGGGACUGUGUCCUCGAGACACCGCACAAGAAUGGCGACGGAGCCAAUUCGGACGCUGGACCCAGCGACCUGGCCACCCUCAUCCGCUCCCUGGUGGCCAACAAACAGAAGGGAUCCAGGACCCCUGGGACCAAGACCCCUGAGCAUGCUGGCUCCAUGAGGAUUGACCCCCAGGUUCCUUCGGUCACCGAGACCCCCCCUACAUCUCCCGCUCGCCCCUCCCCCCUGACGCCAGGCUCCAGCGCCCCCUGGCUGGAGGAAGAUCUGAACUCGGGUCCCCCGACUUCCUGGCUCAAUGAGGCCGU
This 597-nucleotide long non-coding RNA is filed under the name Gopherus agassizii (Agassiz's desert tortoise). Its description in RNAcentral is "lncRNA (ENSGAGG00000012455.1)". Lineage: Eukaryota; Metazoa; Chordata; Testudines; Testudinidae. The record is from RNAcentral.